GACGAACGCUGGCGGCGCGCUUAGCACAUGCAAGUCGAACGGAAAGGCCUGCUUUCCCUUGUGGAUUGCGGGUACUCGAGUGGCGAACGGGUGAGUAACACGUGAGUGAUCUGCCCCCAACUUGGGUAUAAGCCUGGGAAACUGGGUCUAAUUCCCGAUAGGACUGCAGGGUGGUGCCUGUGGUGGAAAACGAUUUUCUAGUGGUUGGGGAUGAGCUCGCGGCCUAUCAGCUUGUUGGUGGGGUAAUGGCCUACCAAGGCGGCGACGGGUAGCCGGCCUGAGAGGGUGGACGGCCACAUUGGGACUGAGAUACGGCCCAGACUCCUACGGGAGGCAGCAGUGGGGAAUAUUGCACAAUGGGCGGAAGCCUGAUGCAGCGACGCCGCGGGGGGGAUGACGGCCUUCGGGUUGUAAACUCCUUUCGACCGCGAGGAAGCCACCUGGUUGGAAGGGUGGUGACGGUAGUGGUAGAAGAAGCACCGGCUAACUACGUG
RNAcentral lists this ribosomal RNA (494 nucleotides) under uncultured bacterium. RNAcentral describes it as "partial 16S ribosomal RNA". It matches the Rfam family "Bacterial small subunit ribosomal RNA", at positions 28 to 507 of the family's 1533-position model. The record is from RNAcentral.